GAUGAACGCUGGCGGCGUGCCCAAUACAUGCAAGUCGAGCGAACAGAUGAGGAGCUUGCUCCUCUGACGUUAGUGGCGGACGGGUGAGUAAAACGUGGAUAACCUGCCUAUAAGACUGGGAUAACUUAGGGAAACCGGAGCUAAUACCGGAUAAUAUAUUGAACCGCAUGGUUCAAUAGUGAAAGACGGUUUUGCUGUAACUUAUAGAUGGAUCCGCGCCGCAUUAGCUAGUUGGUAAGGUAACGGCUUACCAAGGCAACGAUGCGUAGCCGACCUGAGAGGGUGAACGGCCACACUGGAACUGAGAGACGGUCCAGACUCCUACGGGAGGCAGCAGUAGGUAAUCGUCCGCAAUGGGCGAAAGCCUGACGGAGCAACGCCGCGUGAGUGAUGAAGGUCCUCGGAUCGUAAAACUCUGUUAUUGGGGAAGAACAAAUGUGUAAGUAACUAUGCACGUCUUGACGGUACCUAAUCAGAAAGCCACGGCUAACUACGUG
This 497-nucleotide ribosomal RNA is filed under the name uncultured bacterium. Its description in RNAcentral is "partial 16S ribosomal RNA". It matches the Rfam family "Bacterial small subunit ribosomal RNA", at positions 28 to 507 of the family's 1533-position model. The record is from RNAcentral.